RNAcentral lists this unclassified non-coding RNA (300 nucleotides) under Hevea brasiliensis (rubber tree). The record is from RNAcentral. Lineage: Eukaryota; Viridiplantae; Streptophyta; Magnoliopsida; Malpighiales; Euphorbiaceae.
AAUGGGAAUGCCUCCAAUGCCACCAUUUGGAAUGCCACCGAUGGGUAGCUAUUGACGUGCAGGUGACCCCUUUUUGGUAGAAUUUAGCUGUGAAUCCAAGUUGCUUAUAAUGGACAUGCAAGUUCGGGCUUACCAUCUGGUGGUGUUUACUGGUGAUUUGGUGCCUUAAUUCCUUUUUGUGUUUGUUUUGGUGGGAUGAAGGUCUAGCUGAAAUAAUUGUCAAUUUUAAUUUUGAUAUUUAGGUGUGUGGAUAAGUGUUGUAAUAUUCUUUUGAUAGGUGAGGCAUUUUUUGGCUGCUGU